GCCCGGGUGGUGAAAUUGGUAGACACAAGGGACUUAAAAUCCCUCGGCGCAAGCCAUACCGGUUCGAUUCCGGUCCCGGGCACCA
RNAcentral lists this transfer RNA (85 nucleotides) under Rugosibacter sp. Its description in RNAcentral is "tRNA-Leu". It matches the Rfam family "tRNA". Rfam says of the family: Transfer RNA (tRNA) molecules are approximately 80 nucleotides in length. Their secondary structure includes four short double-helical elements and three loops (D, anti-codon, and T loops). Lineage: Bacteria; Pseudomonadati; Pseudomonadota; Betaproteobacteria; Nitrosomonadales; Sterolibacteriaceae. The record is from RNAcentral. RNAcentral also lists the same sequence under 3 other names.